This 253-nucleotide ribosomal RNA is filed under the name uncultured bacterium. RNAcentral describes it as "partial 16S ribosomal RNA". It matches the Rfam family "Bacterial small subunit ribosomal RNA", at positions 524 to 776 of the family's 1533-position model. The record is from RNAcentral.
UACGUAGGGGGCAAGCGUUGUCCGGAAUCAUUGGGCGUAAAGCGCGUGUAGGCGGCCCGGUAAGUCCGCUGUGAAAGUCCAGGGCUCAACCCUGGGAUGCCGGUGGAUACUGUCGGGCUCGAGUCCGGAAGAGGCGAGUGGAAUUCCUGGUGUAGCGGUGAAAUGCGCAGAUAUCAGGAGGAACACCAAUGGCGAAGGCAGCUCGCUGGGACGUGACUGACGCUGAGACGCGAAAGCCAGGGGAGCAAACGGG